ACUGAAGCCCGAGCCGAGCCGAGCCCGAGCCGCCGCCGCCGCCGCCGCUGCUGCGCACCGCUCCCGGGCUCCCUCCCAGCGCGCCGGCCGGGGUGUGGGGGGCGGCGGGCCGGAGGGGCGAGGGCGGGCCAGGGGGCGCACACGGGGGUUGGCGCGGAAGACAGGACCCUCAGCCUCGAGGGAGCCCCUAGGUGACCAGGCAAAAUGGCAGUUCCUUCCAGCUGGUCCUCAGAUGGGCACAUCUAUUAGCCUCUGCUCUUGUAAGAAGUUAGCUGCAGAACCCACAUGUGAAUCCUUGUAGGACUCUGGAGAAGAUCAAAUGGGAGCUUAGAUGUGGAAGCUCUUUGGAAACCAAGAAACACUCUGAAAAUGAAAAGGGAACAGUUUGUGGACUUGCGCUGGCCCUUGGACCACACUUCGAGUGACAUUGUUAUAGAUGACACGGUCUCUUAUAGGAAAAUGCACAGUCUUUCUUAGAUUCUCUACCUCCCUCUUCCAUCUCAUUCCCAACAUAGAUCUGGGUACAUGAGUGGGGUCUUAUUAUAAUCUUGUGACACCCUUGGAUCAUGCACUACCCUCUAAAUAAUCAAUAGUUUCUACUAUAGAGAGGCUCAAUUUAUCUUCUCCCUGGAAUUGGGACCACUGAAAUAUAACUAGAACCCAACUGAUCUUUUGAGAUGUUGUGUGCUUGCCCUUACUGCUACUGCCGUAGUUCUGAACAUUUCCCCAAGCAUCAAAAAGGCCCCAUGGCCUCUUUUCCCCUAGACCUCUGCCAGUCCACCAACACUCUCAGUGGGGAAGUAAGAAGCCUGGUGGAUCCUGCUUCCCACACAAAGGCCAUGAUGAGACAGAUGCUUUCUAAGUCCGAUAUAUCUACCCACUUUCUGCUGUCACCUCUGUACCUCCUGAGUCACAUGGAAUGUGGUGCUGAGCCAAAUGGUCAGUCUUCUAGAAGCAGUGGAAUGUUGGAGGCAGCUUAUACCUUAGCUGAUUCUUAAAUUUUCAGGAAUUUUGUGAGCCAGUUUUUAAACACAGCCAUUGUUGAAAAUUAAACAAUAUAAACUUAUAAUCAAAUAUAUUAAAAAUAAAGAUAAU
This 1095-nucleotide long non-coding RNA is filed under the name Homo sapiens (human). RNAcentral's name for it is "non-protein coding SATB1-AS1:93". The record is from RNAcentral. Lineage: Eukaryota; Metazoa; Chordata; Mammalia; Primates; Hominidae.